GCCAAGUAUACGUCCAACCCUAACGGGUU
RNAcentral lists this small RNA (29 nucleotides) under Bombyx mori (domestic silkworm). Its description in RNAcentral is "ovarian small RNA-5307". The record is from RNAcentral. Lineage: Eukaryota; Metazoa; Arthropoda; Insecta; Lepidoptera; Bombycidae.